Molecule: ribosomal RNA, 912 nt
Filed under: uncultured Lachnoclostridium sp.
Lineage: Bacteria; Bacillati; Bacillota; Clostridia; Lachnospirales; Lachnospiraceae
Description: bacterial SSU rRNA
Rfam family: Bacterial small subunit ribosomal RNA
Source: RNAcentral
CGUNNGGAGCUCUCCCAUAUGGUCGACCUGCAGGCGGCCGCGAAUUCACUAGUGAUUAGAGUUUGAUCCUGGCUCAGGAUGAACGCUGGCGGCGUGCCUAACACAUGCAAGUCGAACGAAGCAAUUAAAGGAAGUUUUCGGAUGGAAUUUGAUUGACUGAGUGGCGGACGGGUGAGUAACGCGUGGAUAACCUGCCUCACACUGGGGGAUAACAGUUAGAAAUGACUGCUAAUACCGCAUAAGCGCACAGUGCCGCAUGGUACGGUGUGAAAAACUCCGGUGGUGUGAGAUGGAUCCGCGUCUGAUUAGCCAGUUGGCGGGGUAACGGCCCACCAAAGCGACGAUCAGUAGCCGACCUGAGAGGGUGACCGGCCACAUUGGGACUGAGACACGGCCCAAACUCCUACGGGAGGCAGCAGUGGGGAAUAUUGCACAAUGGGCGAAAGCCUGAUGCAGCGACGCCGCGUGAGUGAAGAAGUAUUUCGGUAUGUAAAGCUCUAUCAGCAGGGAAGAAAAUGACGGUACCUGACUAAGAAGCCCCGGCUAACUACGUGCCAGCAGCCGCGGUAAUACGUAGGGGGCAAGCGUUAUCCGGAUUUACUGGGUGUAAAGGGAGCGUAGACGGCGAAGCAAGUCUGAAGUGAAAACCCAGGGCUCAACCCUGGGACUGCUUUGGAAACUGUUUUGCUANAGUGUCGGAGAGGUAAGUGGAAUUCCUAGUGUANCGGUGAAAUGCGUAGAUAUUAGGGAGGAACACCAGUGGCGAAGGCGGCUUACUGGACGAUAACUGACGUUGAGGCUCGAAAGCGUGGGGNAGCAAACAGGAUUAGAUACCCUGNUAGUCCACGCCGUAAACGAUGAAUGCUANGUGUUGGGGGGGCAANNCCCUUCNGUGNCNGUCNCNNCNCANUA